Molecule: transfer RNA, 63 nt
Filed under: Cordylochernes scorpioides
Lineage: Eukaryota; Metazoa; Arthropoda; Arachnida; Pseudoscorpiones; Chernetidae
Description: tRNA-Ser
Source: RNAcentral
UGUCCAGGGGCGGGAAUCGAACCCACAACCUUCUGCUUACCGGGCAGAUUCCCGCCCCUGGAC